Molecule: long non-coding RNA, 1034 nt
Filed under: Callithrix jacchus (white-tufted-ear marmoset)
Lineage: Eukaryota; Metazoa; Chordata; Mammalia; Primates; Cebidae
Description: lncRNA (ENSCJAG00000057940.2)
Source: RNAcentral
UUGUCUAAUACACAUGGAAAGACUAAAUCACAAGAGGAAAUUUUUCCUGUGACUUCUAGCAACGGUUACCGUGAUGAAAUUUGGGAACCAUAAAAUCAAAGAAAUCUAACCACCUAGCCAAUGCCUGAGACAUCUAUAUUACCAAAUGUUCUCCAAAUCUGCCAGACUCAGUGAACUCCCAGCGUUAUGGUACACUUGAAAGAGUACACAUGACAAGCCAGAAGGAUGAAAAGAACGUGGAAUGGAUAUGUUGAUUCAUACCUUUACAUAAUGGAAAUGAGCUGAGAAGCCUUUACAACAGCAGGAACACUAGCCAGACUUCUGCCAAUCGCUAAUAUGUGACUUUGAGCAAAUUUCAAAGCCAAGAUGUGGAAACAGAAACUGUGCAUUAUAUAAACAAGGCUUGUUACCUCAGACCCAAAGAGAGCCUUGGUCAAACAAUAGUCAAUCAAUAGUCUUCUCAGCAGGUGGAUCAUAGAUUCAAGGCGACAGAUGCUGAUGCAAAGAAUGAGGACACACAGCUGUUAUGAGACACACAUGCGUACUGCUGGUCAAAGCCAACCAUCUCCCGCUUUUUCAACUGUGGAGCUGAUGCAAUCCCAUGGGGGAACCUGUCUGGUAUCCAGAGGAAAAUAGCAUGGAAUGAGAGUCUUAGGAGAAUGUAGAGAAGGAAUUUACACUGUGAGAUAAAAGAGACCUUACAGCGGGUAAGGAAGAACCAGUAUUUGGUUCUCAAAGUGAACAGUACCAGAGAGAAACACACAUUUAGACUUGGUCGUGAAGAGAGCACAAUCUUACUAGCCAGAUACCAGUUCCUGGGGCUUUGAUGAUUUGCCAAAACAAGACAGAUAUUCAGAAAGGUAAGGAGGCUCAAGUCACAGCCCUUUAAAUAUUACUAUGUGGGUGUUUAUGGGUGUGUCUUCUGGUGUAUAUGCAUGUGUGUGUAUAUUUCUCUCCCAGUGUUGAUAGCAUAUUUCCACAAAUAUUGUUAUGCUGGGGAGAUUAAAGCAACUGCAGGAAUCCGCUGUACUUCU